GGAAGCCUUAGCUUAAUUAAAGUGUCUGAUUUGCACUCAGGAGAUGUAGAGAGGUUCUAUAGGUUUUA
RNAcentral lists this transfer RNA (68 nucleotides) under Ctenophorus caudicinctus caudicinctus. RNAcentral's name for it is "tRNA-Ala". It matches the Rfam family "tRNA". From Rfam's summary of the family: Transfer RNA (tRNA) molecules are approximately 80 nucleotides in length. Their secondary structure includes four short double-helical elements and three loops (D, anti-codon, and T loops). Further hydrogen bonds mediate the characteristic L-shaped molecular structure. tRNAs have two regions of fundamental functional importance: the anti-codon, which is responsible for specific mRNA codon recognition, and the 3' end, to which the tRNAs corresponding amino acid is attached (by aminoacyl-tRNA synthetases). tRNAs cope with the degeneracy of the genetic code in two manners: having more than one tRNA (with a specific anti-codon) for a particular amino acid; and 'wobble' base-pairing, i.e. permitting non-standard base-pairing at the 3rd anti-codon position. The record is from RNAcentral. Lineage: Eukaryota; Metazoa; Chordata; Lepidosauria; Squamata; Agamidae.